Hyla sarda is the source of this 306-nucleotide long non-coding RNA. RefSeq lists it as uncharacterized. The record is from RefSeq and is a predicted model, not a curated record. The transcript has 3 exons. Lineage: Eukaryota; Metazoa; Chordata; Amphibia; Anura; Hylidae.
UGAGGACGGAUCUGAGCAGCUGUCAUCGGCAACCACUAGUCCAAAGCCUUGCGGCAACGGCCAUCAUUCCAAAACUCUCUGGACCAGUGACCCCCUGGACUUCGCUUCCCUCCCUGCACAAUGCUGGCUCUGCUGUGUCUGUGCCUGAUCCUGGGCUCCUCAGUGGCCUCUAGUGUGCGGUCACGUCGUUCUUCCUUCGUGGGGGAGUACGGUGCAGGAGGGGGCACUGCCUUCUCAUUCUCCUCGGAGCAGCUAAAUGGGCCAAUAACAGGCCUGCGAGUGCGGGAGAAUCCAAGUAAUAUCUUA